RNAcentral lists this transfer RNA (98 nucleotides) under Streptomyces roseochromogenus. Its description in RNAcentral is "tRNA-Asp". Lineage: Bacteria; Bacillati; Actinomycetota; Actinomycetes; Kitasatosporales; Streptomycetaceae. The record is from RNAcentral.
UGCUGUUCUGGCGGGGAUUCCGGCGGAGCGUCCGUUGUCGGCGGUCGUGCACACGGCCGGUGUUCUGGACGACGGGGUGCUGGGUUCCCUGACGGCGG